UGUAAGAAUUUGGUGCAUCA
Molecule: non-coding RNA, 20 nt
Filed under: Rattus norvegicus (Norway rat)
Lineage: Eukaryota; Metazoa; Chordata; Mammalia; Rodentia; Muridae
Source: RNAcentral